UAUUCUGUCUGAUAUUAGUAUAACCAUUUUAGCUUUCUUAUGGUUGCUAUUACAUUAUCUUUUUCCAUUCUUUUACUGUCAGCAUUUUUGUAUCUUUGAAUCUAAAGUGGUAUCUCCUGUAGACGGUAUACAGUUGGAUCCUGAUUUUUUUUUUUUAAAUCCAGUAUGGCAAUAUCUGCCUUUUUAUUUUAUAUACAGCAGAUUUAAUGAAGGCAUCAGAACAGCAGGCUGUGUUGAAAAGUGAGUAAAGAUGUUGACAGUAAAGGAAAAGAGAGGAGAUGACAGCCUAAGGAGGUAAGAGGAUCCAUAGGAAUUUUUUUUUGGAAAGGACUCAUUCCUUCUGAGAAUCGGGAGAAAGAAUCUCCUGCUCUGGCUCUCUUAUGGGAGCCAUCAUAGUCCAGCAGGAAGAACAGGUGCUCUGAAGGCAGGCAAACGUGGAUUCAAAAGUCCAGUGUACCACUAACCAGACAUGAAAUCAUAGGCAAGUCUCUUUACCUGAGCCUCAAGAACACAGGGCUAUAAUAUACUACAGGGUAGAAAAUUAAGACUUAGCAUGCAAAAUACCUAGCAUAAAACUUGGUACAGAGUAGUAAGUACUUGAAUAAAUUAGUCCCCACCCCUAUCCCUUUCAUUAAAAGUUCCCUAAAUGGUCUUAUUUAAUGAAAAUCUUCUAGAUCCUCAAUCACGUCCCUUACCUCCUGCCUUUCCCUCCCCCUUACAUGACUCCUGGUGAUUAAACCUAUUAUUGCUUGGCCAAACACAAACUGGACAAAAGCAAGAUCCUACCUAGUGUGGCUCUUUAUGCAAACAUCGAACCAGUCACUAUGCUUUGAAUAUAGGUAAUUUUUUGUGUACUGUUGUGUUUAUGUAUACUUACAAUCUUUUAUACAUUAUAAAGCAUUUUUGUCUCUUUAAAAAAAUUUAUAAAUGAAAGUAUCCCCACAUUUUUGCAUUUUUCUCACUCAUUUUCAGUCUAUUAUUUCUGCUUUGUGCUACUGGUUAAUAGUGAGAGUUAAAGAAACCUAAAUGUCUGUCAACAGGGCAUUAUGAGACAAAUCUAAAUAACCCAACAACUCAAACUUCCUUAAAUAAAUUUAGGUGUUACAGGACAGUGCACAGCAUAUAAUCUCAUUUUUAUUGAAAAAUAAUGUGUAUGUGUGCUUAUUUUACAAGUUCUAGGAAAAAAAAAGAUAUACCAAAGUGUUAACAGUGAUGGUCUCUGGAUCAGAUGAACUAUGGAUUUUUUUUUCUCAUAUUCAGUAUUUCCUGAGUUUUCUAAAAUGAGCACAUUGUUUUGGAAAUAAAGAAAAAUAACAACAGAAACCACAAAAUGUUUAUAUUAAUGGACACUUAGGUAGGUUCCAUUAAUCUCCUAUUGGUUAGAUAUUUCAUCUGUUCCAAAUAACUGCUACUCAUCCUUCAGGCAGAGCCAGGACUAGAAUUCAGAUACUUAUGUUUUCCAGCUUUAUGUAAAAAUGUCCUAACAACUCUUUUUGGGCUCUACAAAUUUAAGACUGAUGUUCCUAGAGACUUAUGAGCUCACGAGUGAGGUCCUAAAGGAAGAAGGUAGAAGAUGGUAUGACAUGCACACCAGGAGUGGGUUUUCAAAUAAGCUGAAAUAUGGAACAUGUCUUCAAAGAUUCCCCCCAAAAUGCUUCCAUUUCAACAUAUUUUUUGUUUAGAGCUGCCACUAAAGUACUGUGUGACCCGGGUAAGACCCUUAUAAUCCUUAUCAAAUUCUGAAUCUCCAUUUCUGUGUCUGCAAAAUAACAGCUACUGUUAAAUGAAAAUCUCCUCUAUUUUACAGAUAAGAAAACUGAGGUUCACAGUUAUGCAAGUGACAAGACUGACACCAGAUCUAUCUAAUAAAGAAGAAUAAGGGCACAGAAGGUACAGGACUGCUGCUCAAAGAGCUCACAGUCUAGAAAGACAUGAAAUAAAUGAACAACUACAGAAAACAGGAAGCCAAGAAGGAGCAAGGAAAUAAUAAUCCAACACCACAACCAACACUUCUUUCUUUGGGGGAAAAGGUUGAUCUUUUCUACAGAAGUGGGAAAUCAUUUUGUGAUCCAGGAAAGUAAAUCUGUCAUAAGCCAA
Long non-coding RNA from Herpailurus yagouaroundi (jaguarundi), 2097 nucleotides. RefSeq lists it as uncharacterized. Lineage: Eukaryota; Metazoa; Chordata; Mammalia; Carnivora; Felidae. The record is from RefSeq and is a predicted model, not a curated record. The transcript is spliced from 2 exons.